UACGGAGGGUGCAAGCGUUAUCCGGAUUUACUGGGUUUAAAGGGUGUGUAGGCGGAUUUUUAAGUCAGAGGUGAAAUCUCCAGGCUCAACCUGGAAAACUGCCCCUGAUACUAUUAGUCUUGAAUAUUGAUGAGGUGGGCGGAACGGGUCAUGUAGCGGUGAAAUGCUUAGAGAUGACCCGGAACACCAAUUGCGAAGGCAGCUCACUGGGCAAUUAUUGACGCUGAGGCACGGAAA
This 237-nucleotide ribosomal RNA is filed under the name uncultured bacterium. Its description in RNAcentral is "partial 16S ribosomal RNA". It matches the Rfam family "Bacterial small subunit ribosomal RNA", at positions 524 to 759 of the family's 1533-position model. The record is from RNAcentral.